RNAcentral lists this ribosomal RNA (485 nucleotides) under uncultured bacterium. RNAcentral describes it as "bacterial SSU rRNA". It matches the Rfam family "Bacterial small subunit ribosomal RNA", at positions 8 to 518 of the family's 1533-position model. The record is from RNAcentral.
AGGGUUCGAUUCUGGCUCAGGAGUGAACGCUGGCGGCGUGCCUAACACAUGCAAGUCGAGCGAUUCUCUUCGGAGAAGAGCGGCGGACGGGUGAGUAACGCGUGGGUAACCUGCCCUAUACACACGGAUAACGUACCGAAAGGUACGCUAAUACGAGAUAAUAUGCUUUAGUCGCAUGGCUGAAGUAUCAAAGCUCCGGCGGUAUAGGAUGGACCCGCGUCUGAUUAGCUAGUUGGUAAGGUAAUGGCUUACCAAGGCGACGAUCAGUAGCCGACCUGAGAGGGUGAUCGGCCACAUUGGAACUGAGACACGGUCCAAACUCCUACGGGAGGCAGCAGUGGGGAAUAUUGCACAAUGGGCGAAAGCCUGAUGCCAGCAACGCCGCGUGAGCGAUGAAGGCCUUCGGGUCGUAAAGCUCUGUCCUCAAGGAAGAUAAUGACGGUACUUGAGGAGGAAGCCCCGGCUAACUACGUGCCAGCCGCCGC